Molecule: ribosomal RNA, 925 nt
Filed under: uncultured bacterium
Lineage: Bacteria
Description: bacterial SSU rRNA
Rfam family: Bacterial small subunit ribosomal RNA
Source: RNAcentral
UAGUGUGCUUGCACAUUAUUUUAGUGGCGAACGGGUGAGUAAUGCCUAGGAAUCUGCCCAUUAGCGGGGGAUAACGUGUGGAAACGCACGCUAAUACCGCAUACGCCCUACGGGGGAAAGCAGGGGACUCUUUUAGAGCCUUGUACUAAUGGAUGAGCCUAGGUCGGAUUAGCUAGUUGGUGGGGUAAAGGCCUACCAAGGCGACGAUCUGUAGCGGGUCUGAGAGGAUGAUCCGCCACACUGGAACUGAGACACGGUCCAGACUCCUACGGGAGGCAGCAGUGGGGAAUAUUGGACAAUGGGGGCAACCCUGAUCCAGCCAUGCCGCGUGUGUGAAGAAGGCCUUUUGGUUGUAAAGCACUUUAAGCGAGGAGGAGGCUACCUGUAUUAAUACUAUAGGCUAGUGGACGUUACUCGCAGAAUAAGCACCGGCUAACUCUGUGCCAGCAGCCGCGGUAAUACAGAGGGUGCGAGCGUUAAUCGGAAUUACUGGGCGUAAAGCGCGCGUAGGCGGUUUGUUAAGUCGGAUGUGAAAUCCCCGGGCUCAACCUGGGAAUUGCAUACGAUACUGGCAAGCUAGAGUAUGGGAGAGGAAGGUAGAAUUCCAGGUGUAGCGGUGAAAUGCGUAGAGAUCUGGAGGAAUACCGAUGGCGAAGGCAGCCUUCUGGCCUAAUACUGACGCUGAGGUGCGAAAGCAUGGGGAGCAAACAGGAUUAGAUACCCUGGUAGUCCAUGCCGUAAACGAUGUCAACUAGCCGUUGGGGGAUUUGAUCCUUUAGUGGCGCAGCUAACGCGAUAAGUUGACCGCCUGGGGAGUACGGUCGCAAGACUAAAACUCAAAUGAAUUGACGGGGGCCCGCACAAGCGGUGGAGCAUGUGGUUUAAUUCGAUGCAACGCGAAGAACCUUACCUGUCUUGACAUAGU